GAUGAACGCUGGCGGCGUGCCUAAUACAUGCAAGUCGAGCGAACAGAUGAGGAGCUUGCUCCUCUGACGUGAGCGGCGGACGGGUGAGUAACACGUGGAUAACCUACCUAUAAGACUGGGAUAACUUCGGGAAACCGGAGCUAAUACCGGAUAAUAUAUUGAAGCGCAUGGUUCAAUAGUGAAAGACGGCUUUGCUGUCACUUAUAGAUGGAUCGCCGCCGCAUUAGCUAGUUGGUAAGGUAACGGGCUACCAAGGCAACGAUGCGUAGGCGACGUGAGGGGGGGGUCGGCCCCCCUGGAGCGGGACCACGGUCCAGGCUACUACGGGAGGCAGCAGUAGGGAAUCGUCCGCAAUAGGCGAAAGCCUGACGGAGCAACGCCGCGUGAGUGAUGAAGGUCUUGGGAUCGUAAAACUCUGUUAUUAGGGAAGAACAAAUGUGUAAGUAACUAUGCACGUCUUGACGGUACCUAAUCAGAAAGCCACGGCUAACUACGUG
This 497-nucleotide ribosomal RNA is filed under the name uncultured bacterium. RNAcentral describes it as "partial 16S ribosomal RNA". It matches the Rfam family "Bacterial small subunit ribosomal RNA", at positions 28 to 507 of the family's 1533-position model. The record is from RNAcentral.